Non-coding RNA from Lactuca sativa (garden lettuce), 1227 nucleotides. NCBI's taxonomy places the organism in Eukaryota, Viridiplantae, Streptophyta, Magnoliopsida, Asterales, Asteraceae. The record is from RefSeq and is a predicted model, not a curated record.
ACCCUACGCAACCACAAAACCUUCAAGCCCCUUGCUUAUUUCGGCCCAAAGAAGCUCCCCCUACUAGUAAACACCUUUGUAACCGUCCAUAGAACCCUAGAUACGAGAUAGACAAUCAACCAGGAGAUCAGAUAGAGAAUGAAAACGUGUUUUGCUUCUAUUAUUUUUUCCUGCUAUGCAGUCAUACCAGGUGAGUAUUUAUAUUGCCUACUAUUUCUUAUGAAGAUUUUAAUGAUUCUAUUCUUGCUGAAAUCGAUGAGUUAUGUGAGUAUGAGACAAAGUCCAAGCUAGUAAUUAAGGAGUCUAGUUAUAUCAUUAAUUCAAGUGAAGAAAUCACAUUCUGAAAAUAAUUGUGGACUUAAUACUGAUUUGAGUCCUUUUGGUUUAGAGAACUUCCAAAGUGAUAAUAUUUUGUAUGAAAGUUCUAAGACUUUAAAAAUUGAAGGCAUGCCUACAGUGUAUGCAAAGUAUAUGCAGUCUUUAAAUGAUAGAAACGUGAAGCAGCCUCCAGCGACAAUAUGGUACCUUUAAUGCUUGUUGCGAGUCCCCGAAGUGGUUAAUUAGGUUGUAAGUCUGUUAUUUCACUAUUUACAUCUCUUUUUUUUGUUUAGACCUUUCUUAUAUAUUAUUCGCUUGCUUUCUAAUUUCAGAUCCACCAUUAUGAGUAUUUUAAUGCUCCUGCACAAGGUUAAUUCGUACACCCAUGUUUUUGGUGUAUGGUCGGGGACAACAAAGAGAGGCGGUCAUUGAAGCUGUCUAUCACUCAGAGAGUGGAAUGAACAUACAAAUUUUAGAGAUUGGUGACAAAUUUGUGAAGUAGUCCUAGGGAAGUCCCGAUGGCAUACCACCAAGAACCUGCUCCAGCAGCCUCGUUUUGCUCUCGGAAACCUCAAAACAGCCAUGUGUUCCCUCAGGAUGAUGUCGAGAAGACGAGAACAUGUAAGAGCUCAUGGGGCAUGUUCCUCACAUUUUUCUUGUUAUUUAAAACCAUAUUUUGGCAGCCUCUGAUUUCAAAACUAUAGAAGAACAACCGAUCAACUUGAACAAUGAUAGAAGAAUUACCAAUGAUACACGAAGCAUGAUUAACAAGUGAUAUAAUUUUUUAUUGAUUGGUUGUAGCUAAAUUUGACAAUUAAAUUUAUUUGAUUUGUGAUUUGAUGAAAUUAGGAUAACAUUGGAUGAUACACUAAUUUUAUUAAGAAUUUAUGUAAUUUCUUUUAUUGUUUA